This 467-nucleotide ribosomal RNA is filed under the name uncultured bacterium. RNAcentral describes it as "partial 16S ribosomal RNA". It matches the Rfam family "Bacterial small subunit ribosomal RNA", at positions 28 to 506 of the family's 1533-position model. The record is from RNAcentral.
GACGAACGCUGGCGGCGUGCUUAACACAUGCAAGUCGAACGGAAAGGCCCUGCUUUUGUGGGGUGCUCGAGUGGCGAACGGGUGAGUAACACGUGAGUAACCUGCCCUUGACUUUGGGAUAACUUCAGGAAACUGGGGCUAAUACCGGAUAGGAGCUCCUGCUGCAUGGUGGGGGUUGGAAAGUUUCGGCGGUUGGGGAUGGACUCGCGGCUUAUCAGCUUGUUGGUGGGGUAGUGGCUUACCAAGGCUUUGACGGGUAGCCGGCCUGAGAGGGUGACCGGCCACAUUGGGACUGGGAUACGGCCCAGACCCGUACGGGGGGCAGCGGUGGGGAAUAUUGCACAAUGGGCGGAAGCCUGAUGGAGCAACGCCGCGUGGGGGAGGAAGGCCUUCGGGGUGUAAACCGCUUUCGCCUGUGACGAAGGGGGAGUGACGGUAAUGGGUAAAGAAGCACCGGCUAACUACGU